UUUGGCAGAAAAAGUGUAUUAAGUUUAGGAUUUAAUUAUAUAAUUUAUUAUUAUAUUCA
Molecule: transfer RNA, 59 nt
Filed under: Carsonus sp. RSZ-2003
Lineage: Eukaryota; Metazoa; Arthropoda; Insecta; Hemiptera; Cicadellidae
Description: partial tRNA-Leu
Source: RNAcentral